CCUACGGGGGGCGGCAGCUAAGAAUCUUCCGCAAUGGACGCAAGUCUGACGGAGCGACGCCGCGUGAACGAUGAAGGCCGUGAGGUUGUAAAGUUCUUUUCCGGGGGGGAAUAAGGAUGGCAGGGAAUGGCCGUCCGAUGACGUGAACCCGGGAAUAAGCCCCGGCUAACUACGUGCCAGCAGCCCCGGUCA
This 192-nucleotide ribosomal RNA is filed under the name uncultured bacterium. RNAcentral describes it as "partial 16S rRNA". It matches the Rfam family "Bacterial small subunit ribosomal RNA", at positions 338 to 523 of the family's 1533-position model. The record is from RNAcentral.